This 921-nucleotide ribosomal RNA is filed under the name uncultured bacterium. Its description in RNAcentral is "bacterial SSU rRNA". It matches the Rfam family "Bacterial small subunit ribosomal RNA", at positions 33 to 947 of the family's 1533-position model. The record is from RNAcentral.
ACGCUAGCUACAGGCUUAACACAUGCAAGUCGAGGGGCAGCAUGGAAGAAGCUUGCUUCUUCUGAUGGCGACCGGCGCACGGGUGCGUAACGCGUAUCAAACCUGCCUCAUACUCGGGGAUAGCCUUGCGAAAGUAAGAUUAAUACCCGAUGUUGUUAUGUUACCGCAUGGUGAUAUAACCAAAGAUUUAUCGGUAUGAGAUGGUGAUGCGUCCGAUUAGGUAGUAGGCGGGGUGACGGCCCACCUAGCCUUCGAUCGGUAGGGGUUCUGAGAGGAAGGUCCCCCACACUGGAACUGAGACACGGUCCAGACUCCUACGGGAGGCAGCAGUGAGGAAUAUUGGUCAAUGGACGGAAGUCUGAACCAGCCAAGUAGCGUGCAGGAUGACGGCCCUCCGGGUUGUAAACUGCUUUCAGUUGGGAAUAAAAAAGAGGACGUGUCCUCUAUUGUAUGUACCUUCAGAAAAAGGACCGGCUAAUUCCGUGCCAGCAGCCGCGGUAAUACGGAAGGUCCAGGCGUUAUCCGGAUUUAUUGGGUUUAAAGGGAGCGUAGGCGGAUUAUUAAGUCAGUGGUGAAAGACGGUGGCUCAACCAUCGUUAGCCAUUGAAACUGGUAGUCUUGAGUGCAGACAGGGAUGCUGGAACUCGUGGUGUAGCGGUGAAAUGCUUAGAUAUCACGAUGAACUCCGAUCGCGAAGGCAGGUGUCCGGGCUGCAACUGACGCUGAGGCUCGAAAGUGUGGGUAUCAAACAGGAUUAGAUACCCUGGUAGUCCACACAGUAAACGAUGUAUACUCGCGGUUUGCGAUACAAUGUAAGCCGCCAAGCGAAAGCAUUAAGUAUACCACCUGGGGAGUACGCCGGCAACGGUGAAACUCAAAGGAAUUGACGGGGGCCCGCACAAGCGGAGGAACAUGUGGUUU